UCAAAUGCCAGCUGUCUCCAUGACAGUAGGACAAGCCACAACAAAAUAGUGCCUUCAACAAGCCUCAAAGACUGCAGCAAUGUCAGCGUGGACCACACAAGGAAUCCAAGCGUGGCAAUUCCCCCACUUACACACAAUCUUUCUGCAGUUGCUCCCAGCAUUAAUUCUGGAAUGGGGACUGCGACUAUACCAAUUCAGGGUUACAGAGUGGAUGAGAAAACUAAGAAGUGUUCUAUUCCAUUUGUUAAACCGAACAGACAUUCCCCAUCAGGCAUUUAUAACAUUAAUGUGACCACAUUAGUAAGUAAGCAGUUCUCAGUAGUAGAAGAGCAAACACCAGUCAGCUCUAGACUUUUAUUAAAAUUAAAUAUGAUAGUGAAGAAUUGAGAAUUUUGUUUGGAUACACAUAAAGUGAAACCUUAAUUGUGCAUAUAUUAUCCCAACCCAUCAUAGUCAUAAACGUGAAA
This 467-nucleotide small RNA is filed under the name Pan troglodytes (chimpanzee). RNAcentral describes it as "retained intron". Lineage: Eukaryota; Metazoa; Chordata; Mammalia; Primates; Hominidae. The record is from RNAcentral.